UAGGGAAUCUUCCACAAUGGACGCAAGUCUGAUGGAGCAACGCCGCGUGAGUGAAGAAGGGUUUCGGCUCGUAAAACUCUGUUGUUAAAGAAGAACAUAUCUGAGAGUAACUGUUCAGGUAUUGACGGUAUUUAACCAGAAAGCCACGGCUAACUACGUGCCUG
This 164-nucleotide ribosomal RNA is filed under the name uncultured bacterium. RNAcentral describes it as "partial 16S ribosomal RNA". It matches the Rfam family "Bacterial small subunit ribosomal RNA", at positions 355 to 511 of the family's 1533-position model. The record is from RNAcentral.